GAUGAACGCUGGCGGCGUGCCUAAUACAUGCAAGUCGAGCGAACAGACGAGGAGUUUGCUCCUCUGACGUUAGCGGCGGACGGGUGCGUAACACGUGGAUAACCUAACUCUAAGACUGGGAUAACUUCGGGAAACCGGAGCUAAUACCGGAUAAUAUAUUGAAUCGCAUGGUUCAAUAGUGGAAGACGGUUUUGCUGUCACUUAUAGAUGGAUCCGCGCCGCAUUCGCUAGUUGGUAAGGUAACGGCUUACCAAGGCAACGAUGCGUAGCCGACCUGAGAGGGUGAUCGGCCACACUGGAACUGAGACACGGUCCAGACUCCUACGGGAGGCAGCAGUAGGGAAUCUUCCGCGAUGGGCGAAAGCUUGACGGAGCAACGCCGCGUGAGUGAUGAAGGUCUUCGGAUCCUAAAACUCUGUUAUUAGGGAAGAACAAAUGUGUAAGUAACUAUGCACGUCUUGACGGUACCUAAUCAGAAAGCCACGGCUAACUACGUG
RNAcentral lists this ribosomal RNA (497 nucleotides) under uncultured bacterium. RNAcentral's name for it is "partial 16S ribosomal RNA". It matches the Rfam family "Bacterial small subunit ribosomal RNA", at positions 28 to 507 of the family's 1533-position model. The record is from RNAcentral.